ACAACCGGUAGCGAUGGAUCCCUUGGCACGUCAUUCGAUGAAGACCGUUGCAAAUUGCGAUAAAGUGAUGUGAUGCGCAAGUCCACCACUUAUACGUGAAUCAUCGAGUUGUUGAACGCAUUGCACCGCGCCCUAAUCCGGCUGCGGUAUGCCCCUUUGAGCGUCAUUGUAUUCCUUCGGGAGUCCUUUUUUACAAAGGACCCGAGUUCGGAGUCCUCGGUCCUCUCGAUCGUGUUCUCUUAGAUGCCUCGCACCGAUCGCCUGAUGGGUCCUCUAAUGCCUAAGCGUGGAGUUCCUUCAAGUUUGAGACGUGCUCGACCGGGUCUUCAGCUCGUGUCACCAAGUCUGCCUAACAAGCAGUACUACAACACAUGACCUCAUUGGGGUAGGACAACCCGCUAGACUUAAGCAUAUUAAUCAGCGGAGGAAAAGAAACUAACCAGGAUC
This 447-nucleotide ribosomal RNA is filed under the name uncultured fungus. Its description in RNAcentral is "eukaryotic LSU rRNA". The stretch from base 3 to 166 matches the Rfam family "5.8S ribosomal RNA". Lineage: Eukaryota; Fungi. The record is from RNAcentral.